AUGCCUGUGGCGCAGAUGGCCGAGAGGCUGUUGUGCCAGCGCAUGGGAAUCAUAGAUGAAGCACAACAACUCACGGAAGACGCCAUUGGCAAGUUCGUUGAGAUGUUUCAGGGAAGGCUACCGGACAUAGCUGUUUCAGCCCUUAGGGCUCUGUUCAACCUUGACUGUGACCUUGCUACGGUUGUUGAAGAUGCUCUGUUGGAGCAUGGAGGUGAGGCUGGCCCUGAACUGCAGGCAACGGCCGAGGAGAUUGCCGGCGUGUCGGCAUGA
Molecule: ribosomal RNA, 270 nt
Filed under: Triticum aestivum (bread wheat)
Lineage: Eukaryota; Viridiplantae; Streptophyta; Magnoliopsida; Poales; Poaceae
Description: partial small subunit ribosomal RNA
Source: RNAcentral